RNAcentral lists this transfer RNA (67 nucleotides) under Prevotella sp. RNAcentral's name for it is "tRNA-Met". Lineage: Bacteria; Pseudomonadati; Bacteroidota; Bacteroidia; Bacteroidales; Prevotellaceae. The record is from RNAcentral.
AUAGAAUGAAAUGGUGAGGAUCUGACUCAUAAUCAGGGGGUCCCUGGUUCAAGCCCAGGUGGGACCA